Molecule: unclassified non-coding RNA, 309 nt
Filed under: plant metagenome
Description: partial contains 5.8S ribosomal RNA, internal transcribed spacer 2, and large subunit ribosomal RNA
Rfam family: 5.8S ribosomal RNA (bases 1-105)
Source: RNAcentral
GAAAUGCGAUAAGUAGUGUGAAUUGCAGAAUUCAGUGAAUCAUCGAAUCUUUGAACGCACAUUGCGCCCCUUGGUAUUCCAUGGGGCAUGCCUGUUCGAGCGUCAUUUGUACCCUCAAGCUCUGCUUGGUGUUGGGUGUUUUUCCCGUCUCCGCGCGUGGACUCGCCCCAAAGUGAUUGGCAGCCGGCGUACUGGUCCCGGAGCGCAGCACAUGUCGCGCAAACGAGUGCCUUGGUACGGCGGCGUCCAUAAGCCCCUCUCUCACGCUCUUGACCUCGGAUCAGGUAGGGAUACCCGCUGAACUUAAGC